Molecule: non-coding RNA, 192 nt
Rfam family: Eukaryotic large subunit ribosomal RNA
ACUCUAGUUUGACCUUGUGAAAAGACAUAUCGGGUGUAGAAUAGGUGGGAGCUCUAGCGACGUUGAAAUACCACUGCCUUCAUCGUUUUUUUUACAUAUUCAAUGAAGUGGAACUGGGCUUCACCGCCCAACUUCUAGCGUUACGGUCCCUCGCGGACCGGCCCGGGUUGAAGACAUUGUCAGGCGGGGAGU